AUGUUUUCCCCUGCAAAGACAUUUGCAGUCUGUGUACUUUCGGGAAGGAACUCUCCGCGGACUCUGCCGCCCCCGCCCUGCCCGGAGUCGCCCCUCACCCUCUUGAUGCAGUCCUCACUUCGCGCUCCCAAAGCUAAGACACAGCCUGGACUGCCGGAUACGGAAAAUUACCCCAAUCACUCCAGGGAAAGUGAUUACUUUUGGAGAACACUGAACAAAAACUAA
This 225-nucleotide long non-coding RNA is filed under the name Chinchilla lanigera (long-tailed chinchilla). RNAcentral describes it as "lncRNA (ENSCLAG00000025418.1)". Lineage: Eukaryota; Metazoa; Chordata; Mammalia; Rodentia; Chinchillidae. The record is from RNAcentral.